This 253-nucleotide ribosomal RNA is filed under the name uncultured bacterium. RNAcentral describes it as "partial 16S ribosomal RNA". It matches the Rfam family "Bacterial small subunit ribosomal RNA", at positions 524 to 776 of the family's 1533-position model. The record is from RNAcentral.
UACGUAGGGUGCGAGCGUUAAUCGGAAUUACUGGGCGUAAAGCGUGCGCAGGCGGUUAUGUAAGACAGAGGGGAAAACCCCGGGCUGAAACUGGGAACUUCCUUUGUUACUGCAUGACUAGAGUACGGCAGAGGGGGAUGGAAAUCCGCGUGUAGCAGUGAAAUGCGUAGAUAUGCGGAGGAACACCGAUGGCGAAGGCAAUCCCCUGCGCCUGUACUGACGCUCAUGCACGAAAGCGUGGGGAGCAAACAGG